UUUUUUUUCUGUUUUUAUGUUGUUUU
Molecule: small RNA, 26 nt
Filed under: Arabidopsis thaliana (thale cress)
Lineage: Eukaryota; Viridiplantae; Streptophyta; Magnoliopsida; Brassicales; Brassicaceae
Description: ATSL079490
Source: RNAcentral